This 437-nucleotide ribosomal RNA is filed under the name uncultured Lachnospiraceae bacterium. Its description in RNAcentral is "partial 16S ribosomal RNA". It matches the Rfam family "Bacterial small subunit ribosomal RNA", at positions 341 to 792 of the family's 1533-position model. The record is from RNAcentral. Lineage: Bacteria; Bacillati; Bacillota; Clostridia; Lachnospirales; Lachnospiraceae.
ACGGGAGGCAGCAGUGGGGAAUAUUGGGCAAUGGGCGAAAGCCUGACCCAGCAACGCCGCGUGAAGGAAGAAGGCCUUCGGGUUGUAAACUUCUUUUACCAGGGACGAAGGACGUGACGGUACCUGGAGAAGAAGCACCGGCUAAAUACGUGCCAGCAGCCGCGGUAAUACGUAUGGUGCAAGCGUUAUCCGGAUUUACUGGGUGUAAAGGGAGCGUAGGCGGCAUGGCAAGCCAGAUGUGAAAGCCCGGGGCCCAACCCCGGAACUGCAUUUGGAACUGUCAGGCUAGAGUACCGGAGAGGUAAGCGGAAUUCCUAGUGUAGCGGUGAAAUGCGUAGAUAUUAGGAGGAACACCAGUGGCGAAGGCGGCUUACUGGACGGUAACUGACGCUGAGGCUCGAAAGCGUGGGGAGCAAACAGGAUUAGAUACCCUGGUA